AGAGUUUGAUCAUGGCUCAGAUUGAACGCUGGCGGCAUGCCUUACACAUGCAAGUCGAACGGCAGCAUGAUCUAGCUUGCUAGAUUGAUGGCGAGUGGCGAACGGGUGAGUAAUACAUCGGAACGUGCCCUGUAGUGGGGGAUAACUAGUCGAAAGAUUAGCUAAUACCGCAUACGACCUGAGGGUGAAAGUGGGGGACCGCAAGGCCUCAUGCUAUAGGAGCGGCCGAUGUCUGAUUAGCUAGUUGGUGGGGUAAAGGCCCACCAAGGCGACGAUCAGUAGCUGGUCUGAGAGGACGAUCAGCCACACUGGGACUGAGACACGGCCCAGACUCCUACGGGAGGCAGCAGUGGGGAAUUUUGGACAAUGGGGGCAACCCUGAUCCAGCAAUGCCGCGUGUGUGAAGAAGGCCUUCGGGUUGUAAAGCACUUUUGUCCGGAAAGAGAUCGCACUUACUAAUAUUAGGUGUGGAUGACGGUACCGGAAGAAUAAGGACCGGCUAACUACGUGCCAGCAGCCGCGGUAAUACGUAGGGUCCAAGCGUUAAUCGGAAUUACUGGGCGUAAAGCGUGCGCAGGCGGUUGUGCAAGACCGAUGUGAAAUCCCCGGGCUUAACCUGGGAAUUGCAUUGGUGACUGCACGGCUAGAGUGUGUCAGAGGGGGGUAGAAUUCCACGUGUAGCAGUGAAAUGCGUAGAGAUGUGGAGGAAUACCGAUGGCGAAGGCAGCCCCCUGGGAUAACACUGACGCUCAUGCACGAAAGCGUGGGGAGCAAACAGGAUUAGAUACCCUGGUAGUCCACGCCCUAAACGAUGUCAACUAGUUGUUGGGGAUUCAUUUCCUUAGUAACGUAGCUAACGCGUGAAGUUGACCGCCUGGGGAGUACGGUCGCAAGAUUAAAACUCAAAGGAAUUGACGGGGACCCGCACAAGCGGUGGAUGAUGUGGAUUAAUUCGAUGCAACGCGAAAAACCUUACCUACCCUUGACAUGCCACUAACGAAGCAGAGAUGCAUUAGGUGCUCGAAAGAGAAAGUGGACACAGGUGCUGCAUGGCUGUCGUCAGCUCGUGUCGUGAGAUGUUGGGUUAAGUCCCGCAACGAGCGCAACCCUUGUCUCUAGUUGCUACGAAAGGGCACUCUAGAGAGACUGCCGGUGACAAACCGGAGGAAGGUGGGGAUGACGUCAAGUCCUCGUGGCCCUUAUGGGUAGGGCUUCACACGUCAUACAAUGGUGCAUACAGAGGGUUGCCAAGCCGCGAGGUGGAGCUAAUCCCAGAAAAUGCAUCGUAGUCCGGAUCGUAGUCUGCAACUCGACUACGUGAAGCUGGAAUCGCUAGUAAUCGCGGAUCAGCAUGCCGCGGUGA
Molecule: ribosomal RNA, 1363 nt
Filed under: unidentified marine bacterioplankton
Lineage: Bacteria
Description: bacterial SSU rRNA
Rfam family: Bacterial small subunit ribosomal RNA
Source: RNAcentral